RNAcentral lists this ribosomal RNA (465 nucleotides) under Vreelandella stevensii. Its description in RNAcentral is "partial 16S ribosomal RNA". It matches the Rfam family "Bacterial small subunit ribosomal RNA", at positions 338 to 795 of the family's 1533-position model. Lineage: Bacteria; Pseudomonadati; Pseudomonadota; Gammaproteobacteria; Oceanospirillales; Halomonadaceae. The record is from RNAcentral.
CCUACGGGUGGCAGCAGUGGGGAAUAUUGGACAAUGGGCGAAAGCCUGAUCCAGCCAUGCCGCGUGUGUGAAGAAGGCCUUCGGGUUGUAAAGCACUUUCAGUGGGGAAGAAAGCCUUGGGGCUAAUACCCUCGAGGAAGGACAUCACCCACAGAAGAAGCACCGGCUAACUCCGUGCCAGCAGCCGCGGUAAUACGGAGGGUGCGAGCGUGAAUCGGAAUUACUGGGCGUAAAGCGCGCGUAGGCGGUCUGAUAAGCCGGUUGUGAAAGCCCCGGGCUCAACCUGGGAACGGCAUCCGGAACUGUCAGGCUAGAGUGCAGGAGAGGAAGGUAGAAUUCCCGGUGUAGCGGUGAAAUGCGUAGAGAUCGGGAGGAAUACCAGUGGCGAAGGCGGCCUUCUGGACUGACACUGACGCUGAGGUGCGAAAGCGUGGGUAGCAAACAGGAUUAGAUACCCUGGUAGUC